This 705-nucleotide ribosomal RNA is filed under the name uncultured bacterium. RNAcentral's name for it is "bacterial SSU rRNA". It matches the Rfam family "Bacterial small subunit ribosomal RNA", at positions 83 to 784 of the family's 1533-position model. The record is from RNAcentral.
CCCUGGUGGCGAGUGGCGAACGGGUGAGUAAUGCAUCGGAACGUGCCCAGUAGUGGGGGAUAACCAGUCGAAAGAUUGGCUAAUACCGCAUACGACCUUCGGGUGAAAGCGGGAGACCGCAAGGCCUCGCGCUAUUGGAGCGGCCGAUGUCUGAUUAGCUAGUUGGUGAGGUAAAGGCUCACCAAGGCGACGAUCAGUAGCUGGUCUGAGAGGACGGCCAGCCACACUGGGACUGAGACACGGCCCAGACUCCUACGGGAGGCAGCAGUGGGGAAUUUUGGACAAUGGGCGCAAGCCUGAUCCAGCCAUGCCGCGUGCGGGAAGAAGGCCUUCGGGUUGUAAACCGCUUUUGGCAGGAACGAAACGGCGCCCCCUAAUACGGGGCGCUAAUGACGGUACCUGCAGAAUAAGCACCGGCUAACUACGUGCCAGCAGCCGCGGUAAUACGUAGGGUGCAAGCGUUAAUCGGAAUUACUGGGCGUAAAGCGUACGCAGGCGGCUAUGCAAGACAGGUGUGAAAUCCCCGGGCUUAACCUGGGAACUGCAUUUGUGACUGCAUGGCUAGAGUUUGUCAGAGGGGGGUGGAAUUCCACGUGUAGCAGUGAAAUGCGUAGAGAUGUGGAGGAACACCGAUGGCGAAGGCAGCCCCCUGGGAUGUGACUGACGCUCAUGUACGAAAGCGUGGGGAGCAAACAGGAUUAGAUA